GUGCCAGCAGCCGCGGUAAUACCGGUGGCUCGAGUGGUGGCCGCUAUUAUUGGGUCUAAAGGGUCCGUAGCCGGCCUGAUAAGUUACCUGGGAAAUCCGGUGGCCUAACCAUCGGGCGGCCAGGUAAUACUAUCAGGCUCGGGACUAGGAGAGACCAGAGGUACUCAUGAGGUAGGAGUGAAAUCCUGUAAUCUUAUGAGGACCACCAGUGGUGAAGACGUCUGGUUAGAAUAGGUCCGACGGUGAGGGACGAAGGCUGGGGGCGCAAACCGGAUUAGAUACCCGGGUAGUCCCAGCAGUAAACGAUGCCAGCUAUGUGUUGCUGGAACCAUGGGUUCCAGCAGUGCCGAAGGGAAGCCGUGAAGCUGGCCACCUGGGAAGUACGGUCGCAAGGCUGAAACUUAAAGGAAUUGGCGGGGGAGUACCACAACCGGUGGAGCCUGCGGUUUAAUUGGAUACAACGCCGGGAAUCUUACCGGAGGGGACAGCAGUAUGAAGGCCAGGCUAAAGACCUUGCCAGAUCAGCUGAGAGGAGGUGCAUGGCCGUCGCCAGUUCGUACCGUGAGGCAUCCUGUUUAGUCAGGCAACGAUCGAGACCCGGAGUCUUAUUUG
Molecule: ribosomal RNA, 612 nt
Filed under: uncultured bacterium
Lineage: Bacteria
Description: bacterial SSU rRNA
Rfam family: Archaeal small subunit ribosomal RNA
Source: RNAcentral